Long non-coding RNA from Mauremys reevesii (Reeves's turtle), 354 nucleotides. RefSeq lists it as uncharacterized. The transcript has 3 exons. The record is from RefSeq and is a predicted model, not a curated record. Lineage: Eukaryota; Metazoa; Chordata; Testudines; Geoemydidae.
CCAUUCCUGUUGCAGUAUGUGGGAACAGUGGGGAAUUGAAAUUGGGCUUCUAGGCCCUCACUUUUCCUUCAUCUGGAUAACUGUGAACCACUGGGCUAAAUCUAGAGUUAAACCACUGAAGCCAAUUCAAUCCGGGCAGAAUCAGGCCAGGAAGGUUUCAGCUGAAUGGAAAUUUUACAGCAGUUCCCCCCACACCUUUGCUAGGUUAAUGUUUCGGAAGGUGAAUUACACGUGAAGUUGGAGGAAACACAGAGAAUUCCCUGGACCACGCGCGGUGGGAGCAGAUGCUGCUUCAGUUCCUAAGAACAUCUCUGGGGAUGAUAGACGACAGUGCCUGGAGCAGCCAGUUAAGCC